GAUGAACGCUGGCGGCGUGCCUAAUACAUGCAAGUCGAGCGAACAGAUGAGGAGCUUGCUCCUCUGACGUUAGCGGCGGACGGGUGAGUAACACGUGGAUAACCUACCUAUAAGACUGGGAUAACUUCGGGAAACCGGAGCUAAUACCGGAUAAUAUAUUGAACCGCAUGGUUCAAUAGUGAAAGACGGUUUUGCUGUCACUUAUAGAUGGAUCCGCGCCGCAUUAGCUAGUUGGUAAGGUAACGGCUUACCAAGGCAACGAUGCGUAGCCGACCUGAGAGGGUGAUCGGCCACACUGGAACUGAGACACGGUCCAGACUCCUACGGGAGGCAGCAGUAGGGAAUCUUCCGCAAUGGGCGAAAGCCUGACGGAGCAACGCCGCGUGAGUGAUGAAGGUCUUCGGAUCGUAAAACUCUGUUAUUAGGGAAGAACAAAUGUGUAAGUAACUAGGCACGUCUUAACGGUACCUAAUCAGAAAGCCACGGCUAACUACGUGC
Molecule: ribosomal RNA, 498 nt
Filed under: uncultured bacterium
Lineage: Bacteria
Description: partial 16S ribosomal RNA
Rfam family: Bacterial small subunit ribosomal RNA
Source: RNAcentral